GGUGUGUAGCUCAGUUGGUAGAGCAGCGAUCUCCAAAGUCGCCGGUCGGGGGUUCGAAUCCCUCCGC
This 67-nucleotide transfer RNA is filed under the name Heterosigma akashiwo. It matches the Rfam family "tRNA", at positions 5 to 66 of the family's 71-position model. From Rfam's summary of the family: Transfer RNA (tRNA) molecules are approximately 80 nucleotides in length. Their secondary structure includes four short double-helical elements and three loops (D, anti-codon, and T loops). The record is from RNAcentral. Lineage: Eukaryota; Raphidophyceae; Chattonellales; Chattonellaceae. RNAcentral also lists the same sequence under 1 other name.